GAUGAAGAACGUAGCGAAAUGCGAUAAGUAGUGUGAAUUGCAGAAUUCAGUGAAUCAUCGAAUCUUUGAACGCACAUUGCGCCCCCUGGUAUUCCGGGGGGCAUGCCUGUCCGAGCGUCAUUACAACCCUCAAGCUCAGCUUGGUGUUGGGCCCCGCCGCCCCGGCGGGCCCUAAAGUCAGUGGCGGUGCCGUCCGGCUCCGAGCGUAGUAAUUCUUCUCGCUCUGGAGGUCCGGUCGUGUGCUCGCCAGCAACCCCCAAUUUUUUUCAGGUUGACCUCGGAUCAGGUAGGGAUACCCGCCGAACUUAAGCAUAUCAAUAAGCGGAGGA
Molecule: unclassified non-coding RNA, 329 nt
Filed under: soil metagenome
Description: partial contains 5.8S ribosomal RNA, internal transcribed spacer 2, and large subunit ribosomal RNA
Rfam family: 5.8S ribosomal RNA (bases 1-120)
Source: RNAcentral